UUUUAAUCCUAAAGCUAGUUAUAUAAAACUACAACCAAGUUGUUCACGACACCAAUAACUAGAGUGGCAUACACAUGUACUUCCAUUCAUAUAACUACUUAUAAUAUACUUUCUAAAUCAGGUCGACAAUUCAUCAUCCACUUUUUAGAUAAACAACAAGAAUGACUAAAUAACCCUCCCAAAGUUAUGUAAUACAACAAAGGGUCUUCAUGUUUGCAAUAUAACAAAGUUAUGUAAUACAACAAAGUUAUGUUGCAACAAUUUGAGGAAAACAUUGUGAUGGAUCAUCCCUAUUGCAUGUUGCAACAUAUUAUUAUUGCUUCAAUUAUGUCAAGUUCCUUUGUGGCAUCCAUAGCAUGUAUUUUUAAAUGCUGAUGGGAGUUCACCUGCAUUAAGAAACAACAUAUUUUUGAAAGCAACUAAUUAUCCGCUUGCAAAAGAGCUCAAUAGCCUCGUCAUCUAAUAAACUAAUAGUGUAUAUCACGUCUACUUUGUAAGCAUUUAAGAAAUGAUUAUCUCUAGUUUUGGUUAUUAUUGGCUUCAUUCAUCAAACCAAAUAUGUGAUGGUCAAUAUGAUCCAUAUCAUUAAGAACAAGCAACACAAUUCUGUAGUGAAACCUAUUAAUUAUAAAGCAUCAUCCUGCUUUAACUCUGUUUAUUUCCAUUUAUUUUCGUUUCAAAAUGUUUAAAGGCUUUUUUUUUCUUACAACUUUUCUAAACGAUACAUGCUUGAGUCGUCUAAAAUUCCUUCAACAAUGCAGCAACCAUCAAACUUGCUAGAUAUUUCACUAUAUGAAAAUACAUCAACCAUCAAUCAUACGCACACCAUUAAUAACUUUCAUUUCAAAUGUUGUUGCGAGCUUCUAUUCUACGCGGGUGUUAAUUUACGGUUGUAAGUUGAAAUUAUAUCAAUUUCUUUGAUGCACUUUGAUCCAUGCCUACAUAUUGGAUAUACAAGGAUAAUAAACAUAUGCUCACAUUGACAAAUGGAGGUAAUUUGUUUCAUGUUUUAUAAAAUAAAGUGUUCACAUUCAAACACACACACACACACACACACACACAC
RNAcentral lists this long non-coding RNA (1063 nucleotides) under Lactuca sativa (garden lettuce). Its description in RNAcentral is "long non-coding RNA (LSAT_LNC009460)". Lineage: Eukaryota; Viridiplantae; Streptophyta; Magnoliopsida; Asterales; Asteraceae. The record is from RNAcentral.